CCUCCCCGCUGCCCUCUCCCUCCCUCCCUGCCGGCCGCCCUCUCUCUCCCUCUCCGCUCUCUGCCUCCCCGACGCCGCCUCACCUCCCCUCCCCUUCUCCCUCUACGCUUGCCUCCGUCGCCGCUGCUCCUGCUCUCCGCCGCCGCCGCCCGCUCCCGCGGGAUCCGGAUCCGGCGUGGGGCGCGGCUCGGAGGGAGGGGGCGCGUGCCGGCCGGCCAUGGCGCGGCUGCUCCAGCGCAUGGAGCAGAGAGGCGGCCGCCAUGUGCCCAGGCCGGCCCCUGGGCUGCGGGCCGUGUCCCCAUCACCUGCGACGCGGAGGAGGCGAGGUCGACGGUGAGGCGGCGGCGUGGGCGCGGGAGAGCGUGCCGAUCGAGCUUCUCGACGUGCUGCGGGAGGCCAAGCGCGCCUCCUCCUGGAGGGCGGCGCCGGCGCCGAUGGCGAUGCGCGAGCGGCCACCCCUGCUCCAUGCCGCGUCACGCGAGCAGCUCGCCGGAGCGGCACCCCCGCGCUCCGGCCGCUCCUUGCGUCCAGCCCCAAGUCGCUCCUUGCCCCUGGAGUCCUCGCUGGAGCUCCAAAUCGCCGUGACAUUCUAUGCUUCGCCAACUCUUUAUAGCUUGAAUGUUGAGCAGUGUUCUAUCACAUCACGAACUGUUCAGAAGAUGACAGAUGCACUGCAUUAAGGGUCGGUCCUUUCACAUCUCUCAUUAGGGAUGUGAUGCUAUUCAGGCAAUGCUUGUGAAUCCCCCAUGCAGUAUUAGAUCUCUCACACUGGACAGAUGCAACCUUGGACUUGCUGGAAUUGUUUGUAUUAUUCAUGCACUAUCAGGAAAUGACCAACUGGAGGAGCCGCGCUUGGCUGAGAACACAAACUGGCACUAGAGAGAAUAAUUCAGUAGGAAGACAUGCAGGAAGUAUCAACAACCAAUGAGCAAAAACAAUGUAACAACCCUGAAACAAGCAAUGCUAUAGCCCGAGGGAAUACCGUGCAUACAGAUUGUCACCUGAAGGGAUACCGUGCAUGUAGUUUGUCGUUUUUUAUUGCCUCAUGGUUACUUGCGGUUCAAACAGUAGGGCGCGCAUAUGCCUACAGUGGGAAGAAACUCAUAUUGGUGUAUUUCUAUUUGUACAUAUGCCAUUGAAUACUGGAUAUCAGCAUUAUAUACUCAGAAAUUUCUGCUUCAAAGUAUCAUGGCAUACAUGUUGAUUAUAUUGAUGAGCUACAACAUGAUUUUAUUUCUCCUGCUUGUAGUUCCAUGAAACCAGUAAACUGUGUUUACAGUUUAAUACUAAAUCCACUUUCACU
Molecule: long non-coding RNA, 1303 nt
Organism: Panicum virgatum (switchgrass)
Lineage: Eukaryota; Viridiplantae; Streptophyta; Magnoliopsida; Poales; Poaceae
Exons: 4
Source: RefSeq, a predicted model, not a curated record